Molecule: ribosomal RNA, 253 nt
Filed under: uncultured bacterium
Lineage: Bacteria
Description: partial 16S ribosomal RNA
Rfam family: Bacterial small subunit ribosomal RNA
Source: RNAcentral
GACAGAGGUGGCGAGCGUUGUUCGGAAUUAUUGGGCUUAAAGCGUGUGUAGGCGGAUCGUUAAGUACCUUGUGAAAUCCCACGGCUUAACCGUGGAACUGCUCGGUAUACUGGCGGUCUUGAGCAACCUAGGGGCGAGCGGAACAAAUGGUGGAGCGGUGAAAUGCGUAGAUAUCAUUUGGAACGCCAAUGGUGAAAACAGCUCGCUGGGGGUUUGCUGACGCUGAGACACGAAAGCCAGGGGAGCAAACGGG